AUUGAACGCUGGCGGCAUGCCUUACACAUGCAAGUCGAACGGCAGCACGGGAGCAAUCCUGGUGGCGAGUGGCGAACGGGUGAGUAAUAUAUCGGAACGUGCCCAGUCGUGGGGGAUAACGCAGCGAAAGCUGUGCUAAUACCGCAUACGAUCUCUGGAUGAAAGCGGGGGACUCGGCAAUGAGCCUCGCGCGAUUGGAGCGGCCGAUAUCAGAUUAGCUAGUUGGUGGGGUAAAAGCUCACCAAGGCGACGAUCUGUAGCUGGUCUGAGAGGACGACCAGCCACACUGGAACUGAGACACGGUCCAGACUCCUACGGGAGGCAGCAGUGGGGAAUUUUGGACAAUGGACGCAAGUCUGAUCCAGCCAUUCCGCGUGCAGGAUGAAGGCCCUCGGGUUGUAAACUGCUUUUGUACGGAACGAAAAGGUUUCUCUUAAUACGAGGAGCUCAUGACGGUACCGUAAGAAUAAGC
Molecule: ribosomal RNA, 472 nt
Filed under: uncultured bacterium
Lineage: Bacteria
Description: bacterial SSU rRNA
Rfam family: Bacterial small subunit ribosomal RNA
Source: RNAcentral